AUUUUUUGUUUGAAUACUUUGAUAAGUUUUCUGAAGUGUGUUUCUCAAGUGUCGUAUUUAAUAAAUCAUGUUUCCAAGUGCUUUUAUACCAAGGUACGAGUUCCCUAAGGAAGUAUUAUGUCGUACUUUACUACAGUCCGACUUCUACGUACGUCUGCUGUAUUUUGGUUCACAACAAGUUUUGUUUUGGAUUUAAAAACUUCUUUAAAAUGGCUCCAUAUACGGGGUUCGGCAAAUCCUCAACAAAUCGAAACCGUUCUCAAUUUCCUGGACGAACAUAGAGAUUUAGCUCGCGGGAGAUUGAAUAGUUGAACCCAGCCAGGAAGAUAACCUGAGAGUCCAGCUGUAAAAGCUGCCUAAGUACCACCACCAUUGACACAAAAAUGCCGACUUUCACACCUUCCUCUCGACAUACACACUCUACAAGGAGACUGCCUACUACUAGGAGACUACAGAGGAUCUGCCAGCACAGGUGUAAGAAGCAGAUUGUAUCAAUAUGAAGAGGAGCGUGCACAGAGAGAGACGGUGCAAAACGCAGAGCUUGUAGGCAUCAGGGGCGAAUUGGCAGGCAUCAGUCCUACCCUGUUGCAGCUGCAUAACACAAUAAGGGAAUAUGUGGAUAGGAAUUAAGAUUUUGUUAGUGUUUUGUUAGUGUUCAUUAAUUGUGUUUAAUAUUUCUUUGUUAUUAAUUUGUAAUGUUUAAACAGGGUAAUAGUAAA
Molecule: long non-coding RNA, 719 nt
Organism: Helicoverpa zea (corn earworm)
Lineage: Eukaryota; Metazoa; Arthropoda; Insecta; Lepidoptera; Noctuidae
Exons: 3
Source: RefSeq, a predicted model, not a curated record